This 915-nucleotide ribosomal RNA is filed under the name uncultured bacterium. Its description in RNAcentral is "bacterial SSU rRNA". It matches the Rfam family "Bacterial small subunit ribosomal RNA", at positions 8 to 917 of the family's 1533-position model. The record is from RNAcentral.
AGAGUUUGAUCCUGGCUCAGAUUGAACGCUGGCGGCAGGCUUAACACAUGCAAGUCGAGCGGGGAGAUGUAGCUUGCUACAUUUCCUAGCGGCGGACGGGUGAGUAAUGCUUAGGAAUCUGCCUAUUAGUGGGGGACAACAUUCCGAGAGGAAUGCUAAUACCGCAUACGUCCUACGGGAGAAAGCAGGGGAUCUUCGGACCUUGCGCUAAUAGAUGAGCCUAAGUCAGAUUAGCUAGUUGGUGGGGUAAAGGCCUACCAAGGCGACGAUCUGUAGCGGGUCUGAGAGGAUGAUCCGCCACACUGGGACUGAGACACGGCCCAGACUCCUACGGGAGGCAGCAGUGGGGAAUAUUGGACAAUGGGCGCAAGCCUGAUCCAGCCAUGCCGCGUGUGUGAAGAAGGCCUUUUGGUUGUAAAGCACUUUAAGCGAGGAGGAGGCUACUUGGAUUAAUACUCUAGGAUAGUGGACGUUACUCGCAGAAUAAGCACCGGCUAACUCUGUGCCAGCAGCCGCGGUAAUACAGAGGGUGCGAGCGUUAAUCGGAUUUACUGGGCGUAAAGCGUGCGUAGGCGGCUUUUUAAGUCGGAUGUGAAAUCCCUGAGCUUAACUUAGGAAUUGUAUUCGAUACUGGGAAGCUAGAGUAUGGGAGAGGAUGGUAGAAUUCCAGGUGUAGCGGUGAAAUGCGUAGAGAUCUGGAGGAAUACCGAUGGCGAAGGCAGCCAUCUGGCCUAAUACUGACGCUGAGGUACGAAAGCAUGGGGAGCAAACAGGAUUAGAUACCCUGGUAGUCCAUGCCGUAAACGAUGUCUACUAGCCGUUGGGGCCUUUGAGGCUUUAGUGGCGCAGCUAACGCGAUAAGUAGACCGCCUGGGGAGUACGGUCGCAAGACUAAAACUCAAAGGAAUUGACGGG